GCUGGGCGGAUUAUUGGCGAACGGGUGAGUAAUACGUGAGUAACCUGCCCUUGACUCUGGGAUAAGCCUGGGAAACUGGGUCUAAUACUGGAUACUACCUCUUACCGCAUGGUGGGUGGUGGAAAGGGUUUUACUGGUUUUGGAUGGGCUCACGGCCUAUCAGCUUGUUGGUGGGGUAAUGGCUCACCAAGGCGACGACGGGUACUGGGCCUGAAAGGGGGACCGGCCCCCCUGGAACGGAAACCCGGCCCGAACUCCUACGGGAGGCAGCAGGGGGGAAUAUUGCACAAUGGGCGGAACCCUGAUGCAGCGAGCCCGCGUGAGGGAUGACGGCCUUCGGGUUGUAAACCUCUUUCAUUAGGGAAAAGGCGAGAGUGACGGUACCUGCAAAAGAAGCGCCGGCUAACUACGUGCCAGCAGCCGCGGUAAUACGUAGGGCGCAAGCGUUGUCCGGAAUUAUUGGGCGUAAAGAGCUCGUACUGCGGUUUGUCGCGUCUGCUGUGAGAGCGCGGGGCUCAACCCCAGGUCUGCAGUGUGUACGGUCAGACUACAGUGCAGUAUGGGAGACUGGAAUUCCUGGUGUAGCGGUGAAAUGCGCAGAUAUCCGGAGGAACACCUAUGGCCAGGCGGGUCUCUGGGCUGUUACUGACGCUCCUGAGCGGAUACAUGCGCAGCGAUCC
RNAcentral lists this ribosomal RNA (680 nucleotides) under Kocuria rosea. RNAcentral describes it as "bacterial SSU rRNA". It matches the Rfam family "Bacterial small subunit ribosomal RNA", at positions 82 to 774 of the family's 1533-position model. Lineage: Bacteria; Bacillati; Actinomycetota; Actinomycetes; Micrococcales; Micrococcaceae. The record is from RNAcentral.